This 30-nucleotide non-coding RNA is filed under the name Cricetulus griseus (Chinese hamster). The record is from RNAcentral. Lineage: Eukaryota; Metazoa; Chordata; Mammalia; Rodentia; Cricetidae.
CUUGUUGAUGAAUACCAACGGCUCUGAUGG